UGCGGCUGGAUCCCCUCCUUUCUAGACGAAGCGUCUGCUUCAGUUCCCACCCUCUAUCGGCUGUUCUGCGAACGGACAGCAAGCUUCAACAAUUGCGACCCAGGCGGGUCUGUAGCUCAGUUGGUUAGAGCACCGUCUUGAUAAGGCGGGGGUCGAUGGUUCGAAUCCAUCCAGACCCACCAACCGACAGGCUCGAGGCGCCGACUGAAGGGGCUCGAGAGGGCAGCGUAAGACCUGCGGGGCCAUAGCUCAGCUGGGAGAGCGCCUGCUUUGCAAGCAGGAGGUCACCGGUUCGAUCCCGGUUGGCUCCACCAGCGAAGAGCGGGGAAGGCGGAAGGCAUUCGAGGAAGUAAUCACGAGCGUCGCGAUGUCGCGCGAGGCUCGUGAGUGCUUCUUCUUCAGGAAGCAUCUAGAGGCUGUUCUUUAACAAUUUGGGAUAGAAGGUAGUUGUUCGAGCGAAAGGGAUGUUGUGAUGACAUCUCGAGUAGGUCGAACACUGGGUUAUGUAUUGCAUCGUGUCUUCACUUCGAAAGGAGUGGGGAUGCACAAGCGCGAGAGUUUCCUAUGACUGCGCGUUGCAAGCGACUUUGGUUUGCAACUGCUGCACCGCAAGGUGCGGCGGCAAGGUUAUAGGGUCAAGCGAAUAAGUGCAUGUGGUGGAUGCCUUGGCGAUGACAGGCGAAGAAGGACGUGACAGCCUGCGAAAAGCUGCGGGGAGCCGGCAAAUGGGCGCUGAUCCGCAGAUAUCCGAAUGGGGAAACCCGG
This 765-nucleotide unclassified non-coding RNA is filed under the name uncultured bacterium. RNAcentral's name for it is "partial contains 16S ribosomal RNA, 16S-23S ribosomal RNA intergenic spacer, and 23S ribosomal RNA". The stretch from base 634 to 765 matches the Rfam family "Bacterial large subunit ribosomal RNA", at positions 1 to 131 of the family's 2925-position model. The record is from RNAcentral.